Molecule: ribosomal RNA, 675 nt
Filed under: uncultured beta proteobacterium
Lineage: Bacteria; Pseudomonadati; Pseudomonadota; Betaproteobacteria
Description: bacterial SSU rRNA
Rfam family: Bacterial small subunit ribosomal RNA
Source: RNAcentral
ACGCUGGCGGCAUGCCUUACACAUGCAAGUCGAACGGCAGCACGGGAGUUUGCUCCUGGUGGCGAGUGGCGAACGGGUGAGUAAUACAUCGGAACGUACCCAGUAGUGGGGGAUAACGCACCGAAAGGUGCGCUAAUACCGCAUACGACCUAAGGGUGAAAGCGGGGGACCGUAAGGCCUCGCGCUAUUGGAGCGGCCGAUGUCUGAUUAGCUAGUUGGUGAGGUAAAGGCUCACCAAGGCUUCGAUCAGUAGCUGGUCUGAGAGGACGAUCAGCCACACUGGGACUGAGACACGGCCCAGACUCCUACGGGAGGCAGCAGUGGGGAAUUUUGGACAAUGGGCGAAAGCCUGAUCCAGCAAUGCCGCGUGUGCGAAGAAGGCCUUCGGGUUGUAAAGCACUUUUGUCAGGGAAGAAAUCUUUUAGGCUAAUACCUUGGAAGGAUGACGGUACCUGAAGAAUAAGCACCGGCUAACUACGUGCCAGCAGCCGCGGUAAUACGUAGGGUGCAAGCGUUAAUCGGAAUUACUGGGCGUAAAGCGUGCGCAGGCGGUUUGUUAAGACAGUCGUGAAAUCCCCGGGCUUAACCUGGGAACUGCGAUUGUGACUGGCAAGCUAGAGUACGGCAGAGGGGGGGUGGAAUUCCUGGGUGUAGCAGUGAAAUGCGUAGAGAUCA